AUUGAACGCUGGCGGCAUGCUUUACACAUGCAAGUCGAACGGCAGCGCGGGCUUCGGCCUGGCGGCGAGUGGCGAACGGGUGAGUAAUGCAUCGGAACGUGCCCAGUAGUGGGGGAUAGCCCGGCGAAAGCCGGAUUAAUACCGCAUACGACCUGAGGGUGAAAGCGGGGGACCGAAAGACCUCGCGCUAUUGGAGCGGCCGAUGUCGGAUUAGCUAGUUGGUGGGGUAAAGGCUUACCAAGGCGACGAUCCGUAGCUGGUCUGAGAGGACGACCAGCCACACUGGGACUGAGACACGGCCCAGACUCCUACGGGAGGCAGCAGUGGGGAAUUUUGGACAAUGGGGGCAACCCUGAUCCAGCCAUGCCGCGUGCGGGAAGAAGGCCUUCGGGUUGUAAAGCGCUUUUGUUCGGGAAGAAAUCCUCUGGGCUAAUACCCCGGGGGGAUGACGGUACCGGAAGAAUAAGCACCGGCUAACUACGUG
RNAcentral lists this ribosomal RNA (484 nucleotides) under uncultured bacterium. RNAcentral's name for it is "partial 16S ribosomal RNA". It matches the Rfam family "Bacterial small subunit ribosomal RNA", at positions 29 to 507 of the family's 1533-position model. The record is from RNAcentral.